RNAcentral lists this ribosomal RNA (460 nucleotides) under uncultured bacterium. RNAcentral describes it as "partial 16S ribosomal RNA". It matches the Rfam family "Bacterial small subunit ribosomal RNA", at positions 338 to 795 of the family's 1533-position model. The record is from RNAcentral.
CCUACGGGUGGCAGCAGUGAGGAAUAUUGGUCAAUGGACGAGAGUCUGAACCAGCCAAGUAGCGUGAAGGAUGACUGCCCUAUGGGUUGUAAACUUCUUUUAUAUGGGAAUAAAACGUUCCACGUGUGGGAUUUUGUAUGUACCAUAUGAAUAAGGAUCGGCCAACUCCGUGCCAGCAGCCGCGGUAAUACGGAGGAUCCGAGCGUUAUCCGGAUUUAUUGGGUUUAAAGGGAGCGUAGGUGGAUUGUUAAGUCAGUUGUGAAAGUUUGCGGCUCAACCGUAAAAUUGCAGUUGAAACUGGCAGUCUUGAGUACAGUAGAGGUGGGCGGAAUUCGUGGUGUAGCGGUGAAAUGCUUAGAUAUCACGAAGAACUCCGAUUGCGAAGGCAGUUCACUGGACUGCAACUGACACUGAGGCUCGAAAGUGUGGGUAUCAAACAGGAUUAGAUACCCCUGUAGUC